GAUGAACGCUGGCGGCGUGCCUAAUACAUGCAAGUCGAGCGAACAGAUGAGAAGCUUGCUUCUCUGAUGUUAGCGGCGGACGGGUGAGUAACACGUGGGUAACCUACCUAUAAGACUGGGAUAACUCCGGGAAACCGGGGCUAAUACCGGAUAAUAUUUUGAACCGCAUGGUUCAAUAGUGAAAGCCGGUUUCGGCUGUCACUUAUAGAUGGACCCGCGCCGUAUUAGCUAGUUGGUAAGGUAACGGCUUACCAAGGCGACGAUACGUAGCCGUACUGGGAUGGUGAUCGGCCACACUGGAACUGAGACACGGUCCAGACUGCUACGGGAGGCAGCAGUAGGGAAUCUUCCGCAAUGGGCGAAAGCCUGACGGAGCCACGCCGCGUGAGUGAUGAAGGUCUUCGGAUCGUAAAACUCUGUUGUUAGGGAAGAACAAAUUUGUGAGUAACUGAACAAGUCUUGACGGUACCUAACCAGAAAGCCACGGCUAACUACGUGCCAGCAGCCGCGGUAA
This 514-nucleotide ribosomal RNA is filed under the name uncultured bacterium. RNAcentral's name for it is "partial 16S ribosomal RNA". It matches the Rfam family "Bacterial small subunit ribosomal RNA", at positions 28 to 523 of the family's 1533-position model. The record is from RNAcentral.